CCCUUAGAUGUUCUGGGCCGCACGCGUGCUACACUGAGUGGAUCAGCGGGUCAGGUUGCGCGAAAGUGUUUCCUAAUCUUGAAAUCCGCUCGUGAUGGGGAUUGACGGUUGCAAUUUUCCGUCAUGAACGAGGAAUACCUUGUAAGCGCGGGUCAUCAUCCCGCGCUGAAUACGUCCCUGCCCUUUGUACACACCGCCCGUCGCUCCUACCGAUUGAGUGGUCCGGUGAGGCUUUGGGAUCUGAGCAAAGAGAGCGUUUCGCUCGUUUGGCUCGGAAAACUCAGUCGAACCUUAUCAUUUAGAGGAAGGAGAAGUCGUAACA
Molecule: ribosomal RNA, 322 nt
Filed under: uncultured eukaryote
Lineage: Eukaryota
Description: partial 18S ribosomal RNA
Rfam family: Eukaryotic small subunit ribosomal RNA
Source: RNAcentral